AAAUAAAUAUAAUAAAUAAAUAAAUAAAUAAAAUCCUAACCAAAAAGAUUUCUUCAGAUACAGGUUACAGGUAUUUGGAUGUAAAAGGCCGUUGCUAGUCUCUUACCUGGAUCUUUGUAAGCAAGGAAAUUUUUUGUAUCUGGAACUUUACGAAUUUUUACUCGACUAGCCCUGUGCUAAUCUAGUACAUGUGUCAAGUGUCCGUUAUGUUUCCUCCUACUGUGUAACUUGGGUGAAUCCCGCCUCUCGCCGAGCGAAUAAACGAACAAUAACUCACAAUAACACAACAUAAAAUCCACUAUUGAGAAACCUUUCACUCGGGAGCCUUCGCACUCGGGUGAAAAUAGCUCCGGCGACACGGUACGCGUUACACCUGCGACGUGCUAUCGACAGGAAAAUUGGUGUUUCAGAGCUUUUUGUACACGUCAUUUACUGUUUUUAUCCGGAUGGUGUGGCGGUCGGGAAAACCUGUGGCUGAAUUCUGGCACGGAGACAGAAAAGAAAAGAAAAUGGGUUUCGGCCAAAAAUGUAGUUUUUCUCCCUAUGACAUACUCGGACACUUGAACUUUAAGGUUUCGUUAUGUGCAAGCGUUAUGUGUGUGUGGAUGCACCGGCGUCCUAUCCAGGGUGUAUUCCUACCUCGCUCCUAAUGUUCCCGGGAUAGUGAUAGACUCCGGAUUCACUGGAACCCUGACCAGGAUCAUUAACAUCCAGUAAACACUCUGUAAAACACACUGUAUACGCUGCUGUAUGAGGGGAAACGUCACCAGAUAUUACGCGCAGUGUUCUGAUUUAAAAGUCACUGACCUCCCCUUUAAUCCCCUCCUCUCUUCCUCUCGUUCUUCGUGAUAUUCCGUGGCGGUCGGAGGAGAGAUCGGAUGUCGCAAGCUGCAGGAUUACGAGGUUCAACUUUUACCCUGCUCAGCUCAGCCUGCAGCUUGUUGGCAUUUCAGCAGGGAAUCAUAUUCUCCAUUUUUGCUUCCUGUAUUCAUGUCUUUACGUACACAAAGAGUCGACGAGCAGCCGGGCGGGUGCGAUGAUGGAAAUAUGGACGAAUGUGACAUCUAGUUCAUAGUACGUAAAUGUAUAUUCGGUGAAAUGUAUGCUAUUUAUACAUGACUGAUGUAGAAAGAACACUGAAAAACGACGCGUGGGAUGCGGAACGCUUUUUAUGGAAGAAAGGGGCUCUGCGCCAGGCAUUUACGGAUUGUGUGUGUAGAAUUUGUGCUGUUGACGAGCUGUUUAUUAACUCCGGGAAACGCGCGAGGAACGUCAGCGAAAGACUCGCGUCAAGUCACGCACUUGCGGUCACGUCUGCGUUCUCGUGUCGAGUGUACGACAGGCCUUCGUGGUCGUAGCGGAGGGGCCACCGUUUGAUUUUUGCUGAAAGGCCGGCGCACCAGAAUAGAACGUUCCUUCAUUUUGUCCAAAUGUGUAAACAAAACAUCGGAGUGACUGAUCACCCCCACGGGCCACGAAGAGCUUACAAAGCAGGUACGGGAACUCGCUGGUGAAAAAUAUCGGUCGGGAGAGGGUCACGGUACAUUUCCGAGGCAUUGGAUAUACCAUAGAACACUGUAAAGAUAAUAAUUAACACGUGGAGAAAAUAUGGCACGACGGUGACGCUACUAACAGGACGUCCUUCUAAAACUGAUGAGAAGAUCAGGAGGAAACUGGUCCGGGAGGCUGCAGAGAGGCCUACAGCGACGUUAAAAGAAUUGUGGGAAAUCAUUUCUGGAAAGUACUGGUUGCUCCCUACAUGUGACAAUAAUUCUUCAUAUCUCUGAGCUAUGGGGUAGGGUGACAAGACGGAAGCCGAACCAAAAAAUAAAUAAAUAUAUCCAAUCUCCCACAACCAUGUGGAAUGAUGUCUAAUAAUGAUCUGAGGAGACCAAGGUAGAACUUUUUGGCCAUGAUACCAUAAGAUAUGUUUGGCACAAAGAACACCAUCCCCAUGGAGAAGCACGGUGGUGGCAGCAUCGUACUUUGGGGCUGUUUGUCUUCAGCUGGACCUGGGGGUGUAAUCAGCGAAGGGAGGGAAUAGUGUACAGCUCCAAAGACAAAGUCAAUUUUGGCACAAAAACUCAAGGCUUCUGGUAAAACACUUUUCUUUCGGCACGACGACGACCCAAAACGAACCCCCGGAGACGCCAAGGAACGGCUUCGCCGAGACAAGUUCACGGUUUUGGGAUGGCCCAGCCUCAACCCAAUCAAGAAUCUGUGGUGUGACCCGUUUUUAUCUUCCGGUUCUGUUUUAUUAAUGUUAGCAUCUCUGCUUUAGAGGUCUGCCUUGAGAAACUAUUCAAUUCGACGAUUUCCAGGUCGUUCCAUACAGAUCCGGUUAAUCGAUCUGUAGCGCCUUUUCCACACGUAUAGACUAUACAUGCCCCCCGUUGUCCUCCGGAUCAAUCGGAAACCCAUCUUCACGACGUAGAACCUUUUAGAAAGUUCCGAGGAACCCAUUUCAUUUCUGUCUAUGCAUUAUUAAAAUAGCGCAAUUAACGUCUGUGAGAAAAGAUGCUCGGCUACUCGGUAUCGAUCUGACGGUAGACACGGUCGCCUGAUCCGAGACGCACGUUCCUCGGUGCACGUGAAUAUUCAUCUCCACCACUUCAUGGUACUCGGACAGGUUCAGACAAUAAGAGUGUAAUUAACUCAAGGAUGCGGGUGAAUAAAAUAGUGUGUGCAAAUGUUCCGUUUUGGUGUUUGGGCUCGUAACGGCUAUAAAUAGAGAACAUUUUAUAUAUAUAUAUAUAUAUAUAUUUUUUAAAGACGAAACAAAAAAGCUUAUAACGUCAGAUCGGCUUCCUGGAGGAGUUAAUCAGUCGAUCGGUUUAUAUCCGAGCGACUCCAAAUGAGACGCUCCGAAACCUCAUACCAGGUGAUGCUAAACCUAGUGUACACUGUCGCGCUAAUGACCGAACAGCGCGAAAGGACAACGCCCUGAACGUAUUUCGUGAUCAAUCAUGGCAGUUAAAGCGAAUCACACUGCAAAGCGUGAACAUUUUCAAGAGGAGGAACUACGUCGUCUUCCUGCAAUACGAAGAACCUGAUAAAAACAUCUUCAUGGCGUUUAACAGAGAGCGUCCUGAUUUAAAAAAAAAAUAAGCCGGAGAUGCUGUACGCUGCAUCCACAGGGUUAUACGCGAGUAUGGAGCAGUGAAGGAAAGUAUUGCACGCCAGAGCACUUCACUUCAGCGAGCACCGAGCGCCGGGACGCACUUCAUUUUGCCUGGGUCUACUCUUUGUUUGCGAGGUCAGCCGUCUUAAACGGAAAACUCGGCACGAGCAAGCAUCGUUCAUUGCUAGCAAGCGACCUAAACAGAGCUAAAUAAAUAGCUCCAUAACGCUCCUGACCGAUUCAUGCUAAGUACGUUACUCGCUAUCGGAUCCGGUAUCGACCGACACCACGGAACGUCCUCAGGCUCAUACUCGUACGCCUGAUUCGCACAGAUGUUCCUGUUUAAUUCGAAUCCCUCUCCAAGCACGUCUACAUGGAACGGUUUGCCGGUAAUCUCUCAGAAUCGUUUCCCCAGAGUCGGAAUUUAAAUCCAAGUUGAAAACGUAUCUUUUUGAUCCGGCGUAGAUCCAGAGAUUGUUCUUUGGUGGGUUUUUCUGUUUAGAGUUUAUUACCAUGUACAGAUGUCUUUUCACUCCUGUAGGGUUGCACCUAGACGGUCUCUAUCUUAUUUUUUUUUUUAAUAUAUAAUUUUGUAUUUAUUUAGGGUUAAGGGCCUUGGGGCUUGACCUCCUGACCUUCUGAUCAGUCACCCAGAGCCUUUAACCACCGAGCCACCCCUGCUCCAAAUAAAUAAAGAGAUUGAUUGAUUGUUUAUUCUCCAAAAGACCACACCUCUUUAGCUUUACCUCUUACAGUUUUCACUGUAUUUGCCGUGCACUGCCCGACUGGCGCGACUGAAGCCAUGUUCCGGGCCGUGUUGGUCUGCGGGCUUCAACGGUGCGUUUAGUCGUGAAGGAGCAGCGCUUGGACAACAGGGCGUAAUCUUUCUCAUGGAAACCGAGCCAUCCUGGCAGGGUGAUGCAUGAAUAAUUGAAGUGCAGAUGGAGGGAUUAGAGGUUGGUGUGUGUGUGUGUGUGUGUGUGUGUGAGACAGAGAGAGAGUGUCUAGAUGAAGAUGUGGGGCAUUUCGAGAGCUCAUUAAGACGAUCUCUUAUCUUCAAGGGGACGGAGUGCUCAUUGUCAAGAAAGAGGACGUGAGACAGAAGUCUUGAUUAGACUUUCUUGAAGUAUAGUGUUACUCCCAGAGUGUUCAUAGGGCUACUUAACCCCUUCAUCACUGACACGGACCUACAAAGCUUUCUAAAUAGAAAUCAGCUGUUAUAAGGUCUUCUUGUGUCAGUUUUGGCACUUUAUGCAGGCGUGGUGUUCAUAAAGCUGCACAACACCUAAAUAAACCUGCUAUAAAGCCAUAUGCAUACACUGUACACAUAUACAUACUUAUGGCACUGCCAUUAAAUUAUAAUAACAGUUCAUGUGAAGGCUAUAACGAUGACGGUCAUCACACUUUAAUAACAGCGAUGUGAGUAUUUUCUUUGGCCGGUGAUUAUAAUGAUUAGUUUUAUUUAUUAAACUAUUUAUAACAUUUUUAUACAAGCCUUAAUGAACCGUUACGUCCAUUUUUCUCUGACUCUACCUUAGUGACGUUUGAUUUUUUUUUAUUUAUUUAUUUAUUUAUUUUUUAAAAACCCUGAAAUAAACUUUUAUAUAUAUAUAAAAAUGUUCCUAAUGACAGCGAUCACCUCAUAGAAUAAGCGCUUGUGAAUGUUUAUGUAUAUUGUUAUUAAGGGCUUAUGUAGGUUUAAAGUAGCCCUUAAUAUGUUAAUAAUAUUGCAUAGUAUAUAUUAAUGGCAGGUUUGUUCUUUGUGCUUUUACACAAGCUGAAUUGGGUAAAAAAACAACAACAACAACAACAACAACAACAACAUCUUUGUGUGGCCUUCAUUUGUUCCAUACUACGAAGCAUCCGUAAAUCAUCACGCACGUUGUUAUACUUGUCUAUGAAACGGUAUUACUGUUCGUGACAGUGUUUAUAAUGCAUUUAUAUAUUGUUAAUGCAUUGUACUGUAAGCAGUGUGUAAGGGUGGGAAGUUUAAUGGGUUAUCAUAAAUACUGUAAGUCUACCAAUGUGUAUAAUACCUUAAGAAUGCGUUAUAACAUCCAUAUGUCGGUGUACAUAUGGCCUUCAUAAGAAAGUAUUAACCUGAAUUGUUUUGCGUGUUAAAAUGGAAGCAUGUACAUCACUUACUUUC
This is a long non-coding RNA of Ictalurus punctatus (channel catfish), 5270 nucleotides long. The record is from Ensembl. NCBI's taxonomy places the organism in Eukaryota, Metazoa, Chordata, Actinopteri, Siluriformes, Ictaluridae.